Molecule: ribosomal RNA, 258 nt
Filed under: uncultured bacterium
Lineage: Bacteria
Description: partial 16S ribosomal RNA
Rfam family: Bacterial small subunit ribosomal RNA
Source: RNAcentral
UACGUAGGGGGCAAGCGUUGUCCGGAUUUAUUGGGCGUAAAGAGCUCGUAGGCGGUCUGUCGCGUCUGCUGUGAAAACUCGGGGCUUAACCCCGGGCCUGCAGUGGGUACGGGCAGACUAGAGUGCGGUAGGGGAGACUGGAAUUCCGUGGUGUAGCGGUGAAAUGCGCAGAUAUCAGGAGGAACACCGGUGGGCGAAGGCGGGUCUCUGGGCCGUAACUGACGCUGGAGGAGCGAAAAGCGUCGGGGAGCGAACAGG